This 326-nucleotide ribosomal RNA is filed under the name uncultured eukaryote. Its description in RNAcentral is "partial 18S ribosomal RNA". It matches the Rfam family "Eukaryotic small subunit ribosomal RNA", at positions 1470 to 1796 of the family's 1831-position model. The record is from RNAcentral.
CCCUUAGAUGUUCUGGGCCGCACGCGCGCUACACUGUUGCAUUCAACAAGCCUAGCCUUGACCGAGAGGUCCGGGUAAUCUUUGAAACUGCAUCGUGAUGGGGCUAGAUUAUUGCAAUUAUUAAUCUUCAACGAGGAAUGCCUAGUAAGCGUGAUUCAUCAAAUCGCGUUGAUUACGUCCCUGCCCUUUGUACACACCGCCCGUCGCUCCUACCGAUUGAAUGUGUUGGUGAGGAGCUCGGAUUGGCAGCAGUUGGUGGUUCGCCACCGGCUAUUGCUGAGAAGUCCUCCAAACCGCCCCAUUUAGAGGAAGGAGAAGUCGUAACA